UCUCUGAUAGUAUAUCGGCUAGUACACCCGCCUGUCAUGUAGAACAGGCCAGUGCAAUUGGUCGCGGGAGAGCUGGGUUCGACUCCCAGUCAGAGAG
This is a non-coding RNA of Fistulina hepatica ATCC 64428, 97 nucleotides long. Lineage: Eukaryota; Fungi; Basidiomycota; Agaricomycetes; Agaricales; Fistulinaceae. The record is from the annotation of a GenBank genome assembly.